GACGAACGCUGGCGGCGUGCUUAACACAUGCAAGUCGAACGAAGAGCGAUGGAAGCUUGCUUCUAUCAAUCUUAGUGGCGAACGGGUGAGUAACGCGUAAUCAACCUGCCCUUCAGAGGGGGACAACAGUUGGAAACGACUGCUAAUACCGCAUACGAUCUAAUCUCGGCAUCGAGGAUAGAUGAAAGGUGGCCUCUACAUGUAAGCUAUCACUGAAGGAGGGGAUUGCGUCUGAUUAGCUAGUUGGAGGGGUAACGGCCCACCAAGGCUAUGAUCAGUAGCCGGUCUGAGAGGAUGAACGGCCACAUUGGGACUGAGACACGGCCCAGACUCCUACGGGAGGCAGCAGUGGGGAAUCUUCCGCAAUGGACGAAAGUCUGACGGAGCAACGCCGCGUGAGUGAUGACGGCCUUCGGGUUGUAAAGCUCUGUUAAUCGGGACGAAAGGCCUUCUUGCGAACAGUUAGAAGGAUUGACGGUACCGGAAUAGAAAGCCACGGCUAACUACGUG
Molecule: ribosomal RNA, 510 nt
Filed under: uncultured bacterium
Lineage: Bacteria
Description: partial 16S ribosomal RNA
Rfam family: Bacterial small subunit ribosomal RNA
Source: RNAcentral